Molecule: long non-coding RNA, 578 nt
Organism: Daphnia pulicaria
Lineage: Eukaryota; Metazoa; Arthropoda; Branchiopoda; Diplostraca; Daphniidae
Exons: 3
Source: RefSeq, a predicted model, not a curated record
CCUUUUAUUAUGCAUUACAGAAUUAGUAAUAAGGGUUGGUUUAUCGGGUGAAGGCCGUAUCAGGGUGGCCAUAUUGUGAGUGUGGUGUUGCCAAGACAAUGUUGAGACAAUUCAACUGACCUUGUUUUUAGUAUUUGCACAUAUUGAGUUAAAACUUAAUUUUCUCUUCUGUGAUUUGUAAUCUAGACAAGUCUUGAGCUAUCGGAUGCUAUUAAGGAAGUAAAAGCUGUAAAAUCUCGGUUUCUGGUUAAAGCAUGGAGUUGUGUGUCAAGAAUUGCAAUGUCAGUGGGUUUCCAAAUUUGAUUAUGUUUGUGCUCUUCACUUUCUUCUUCACUUCUUGCCUAAGAUGUCUUCCUGAGUAAGCAAUAAGGAAGUUCAGGAACUAUUUUGUCAUAGCAAAAACUGAAAAGGUCCACACAUUUCUGAAACCUGAGAAAGACAGCCUGUCUUACUCAUAGGAAUCUGUGUCUGUGUUCUGCUGUGUUCUGAAGAAACUGCUCCUUCUCACCUCUCCAAUGAAACUUAUUUUAUUUAGCCUACACCAACUCUACAAUUGGCAGACCAGUUAAUUGUCUUCA